UGGGGAAUUUUGGACAAUGGGGGAAACCCUGAUCCAGCCAUCCCGCGUGUGCGAUGAAGGCCUUCGGGUUGUAAAGCACUUUUGGCAGGGAAGAAACGGCGCUGAAUAAUACUUGGCGUCACUGACGGUACCUGCAGAAUAAGCACCGGCUAACUACGUGCCAGCAGCCGCGGUAAUACGUAGGGUGCAAGCGUUAAUCGGAAUUACUGGGCGUAAAGCGUGCGCAGGCGGUUUGGAAAGAAAGAUGUGAAAUCCCAGAGCUUAACUUUGGAACUGCAUUUUUAACUGCCAAGCUAGAGUAUGUCAGAGGGGGGUAGAAUUCCACGUGUAGCAGUGAAAUGCGUAGAGAUGUGGAGGAAUACCGAUGGCGAAGGCAGCCCCCUGGGAUAAUACUGACGCUCAUGCACGAAAGCGUGGGGAGCAAACA
Molecule: ribosomal RNA, 427 nt
Filed under: uncultured Alcaligenaceae bacterium
Lineage: Bacteria; Pseudomonadati; Pseudomonadota; Betaproteobacteria; Burkholderiales; Alcaligenaceae
Description: bacterial SSU rRNA
Rfam family: Bacterial small subunit ribosomal RNA
Source: RNAcentral